Molecule: ribosomal RNA, 494 nt
Filed under: uncultured bacterium
Lineage: Bacteria
Description: partial 16S ribosomal RNA
Rfam family: Bacterial small subunit ribosomal RNA
Source: RNAcentral
GACGAACGCUGGCGGCGUGCUUAACACAUGCAAGUCGAUCGGAAAGGCCUGCUUUCCCUUGUGGAUUGCGGGUACUCGAGUGGCGAACGGGUGAGUAACACGUGAGUGAUCUGCCCCCAACUUGGGUAUAAGCCUGGGAAACUGGGUCUAAUUCCCGAUAGGACUGCAGGGUGGUGCCUGUGGUGGAAAACGAUUUUCUAGUGGUUGGGGAUGAGCUCGCGGCCUAUCAGCUUGUUGAUGGGGUAAUGGCCUACCAAGGCGGCGACGGGUAGCCGGCCUGAGAGGGUGGACGGCCACAUUGGGACUGAGAUACGGCCCAGACUCCUACGGGAGGCAGCAGUGGGGAAUAUUGCACAAUGGGCGGAAGCCUGAUGCAGCGACGCCGCGUGGGGGAUGACGGCCUUCGGGUUGUAAACUCCUUUCGACCGCGAGGAAGCCACCUGGUUGGAAGGGUGGUGACGGUAGUGGUAGAAGAAGCACCGGCUAACUACGUG